CGGGUUGCCGAGUUGGCCCCGAUUGAAGUCCAACUCUUUCGUUUAUAAAGGUAAUAUCAUG
This 61-nucleotide small RNA is filed under the name unclassified sequences. RNAcentral describes it as "DUF2815 RNA". It matches the Rfam family "DUF2815 RNA". The record is from Rfam by way of RNAcentral.